RNAcentral lists this ribosomal RNA (291 nucleotides) under uncultured bacterium. Its description in RNAcentral is "partial 16S ribosomal RNA". It matches the Rfam family "Bacterial small subunit ribosomal RNA", at positions 505 to 796 of the family's 1533-position model. The record is from RNAcentral.
GUGUCAGCAGCCGCGGUAAUACGUAGGGGGCAAGCGUUGUCCGGAAUUAUUGGGCGUAAAGCGCGCGCAGGCGGUCAUUUAAGUUUGGUGUAUAAUCCCGGGGCUCAACCCCGGGCCGCAUCGAAAACUGGGUGACUUGAGUGCGGGAGAGGAAAGUGGAAUUCCACGUGUAGCGGUGAAAUGCGUAGAUAUGUGGAGGAACACCAGUGGCGAAGGCGACUUUCUGGACCGUAACUGACGCUGAGGCGCGAAAGCGUGGGGAGCAAACAGGAUUAGAUACCCUUGUAGUCC